AGUGAACGCUGGCGGUAGGCCUAACACAUGCAAGUCGAACGGCAGCACAGUAAGAGCUUGCUCUUACGGGUGGCGAGUGGCGGACGGGUGAGGAAUACAUCGGAAUCUACUUUUUCGUGGGGAUAACGUAGGGAAACUUACGCUAAUACCGCAUACGACCUACGGGUGAAAGCAGGGGAUCUUCGGACCUUGCGCGAUUGAAUGAGCCGAUGUCGGAUUAGCUAGUUGGCGGGGUAAAGGCCCACCGAGGCGACGAUCCGUAGCUGGUCUGAGAGGAUGAUCAGCCACACUGGAACUGAGACACGGUCCAGACUCCUACGGGAGGCAGCAGUGGGGAAUAUUGGACAAUGGGCGCAAGCCUGAUCCAGCCAUACCGCGUGGGUGAAGAAGGCCUUCGGGUUGUAAAGCCCUUUUGUUGGGAAAGAAAAGCAGCAGGUUAAUACCCCGCUGUUCUGACGGUACCCAAAGAAUAAGCACCGGCUAACUUCGUG
RNAcentral lists this ribosomal RNA (491 nucleotides) under uncultured bacterium. Its description in RNAcentral is "partial 16S ribosomal RNA". It matches the Rfam family "Bacterial small subunit ribosomal RNA", at positions 29 to 507 of the family's 1533-position model. The record is from RNAcentral.